GCCAGGCGCAGUGGCAUGUCUACUCUGGAGGCUGAGGUGGGAGGAUCGCUUGAGCCCAGGAGUUCUGGGCUGUAGGGUGCUAUGCCAAUCGGGUGUCUGCACUAAGUUCGGCAUCAAUAUGGUGACCUCCCAGGAGUGGGGGACCACUAGGUUGCCUAAGGAGGGGUGAACUGGCCCAGGUUGGAAACGGAGCAGGUCAAAAUUCCUGUGCUGAUCAGUAGUGGGAUCAUGCCUGUGAAUAGCCACCGCACUCCAGCCUGGGCAACAUAGCAAGACCCCCUCUCU
RNAcentral lists this signal recognition particle RNA (285 nucleotides) under Cebus imitator (Panamanian white-faced capuchin). RNAcentral describes it as "Metazoan signal recognition particle RNA (ENSCCAG00000014791.1)". It matches the Rfam family "Metazoan signal recognition particle RNA". From Rfam's summary of the family: The signal recognition particle (SRP) is a universally conserved ribonucleoprotein. It is involved in the co-translational targeting of proteins to membranes. The record is from RNAcentral. Lineage: Eukaryota; Metazoa; Chordata; Mammalia; Primates; Cebidae.